GACGUAGGGUCCAAGCGUUGUCCGGAUUUACUGGGCGUAAAGAGCGCGUAGGCGGCUUGUUAAGUGUGAUGUGAAAUCUCCAGGGCUCAACCCGGAAACUGCUUUACAUACUGGCAAGCUGGAGUGAUGCAGAGGUUUGUGGAAUUCCUGGUGUAACGGUGAAAUGUGUUGAUAUCAGGAGGAACACCCAUGGCGAAGGCAGCAAACUGGGCAUCAACUGACGCUGAGGCGCGAAAGCGUGGGUAGCAAACAGG
This 254-nucleotide ribosomal RNA is filed under the name uncultured bacterium. RNAcentral's name for it is "partial 16S ribosomal RNA". It matches the Rfam family "Bacterial small subunit ribosomal RNA", at positions 524 to 776 of the family's 1533-position model. The record is from RNAcentral.